UCGAGCGGAAACGAUGGGAGCUUGCUCCCAGGCGUCGAGCGGCGGACGGGUGAGUAACACGUGGGAAUCUGCCCAUUAGUGGGGGAUAACUCGGGGAAACUCGAGCUAAUACCGCAUAAUCCCUACGGGGGAAAGCAGGGGAUCUUCGGACCUUGCGCUGAUGGAUGAGCCCGCGUCGGAUUAGCUUGUUGGUGGGGUAAUGGCCCACCAAGGCGACGAUCCGUAACUGGUCUGAGAGGAUGGCCAGUCACACCGGGACUGAGACACGGCCCGGACUCCUACGGGAGGCAGCAGUGGGGAAUCUUGGACAAUGGGCGCAAGCCUGAUCCAGCCAUGCCGCGUGUGUGAAGAAGGCCUUCGGGUUGUAAAGCACUUUCAGUAGGGAGGAAGGCUUUGGGCUAAUACCCUGGAGUACUUGACGUUACCUACAGAAGAAGCACCGGCUAAUUUCGUGCCAGCAGCCGCGGUAAUACGAAAGGUGCGAGCGUUAAUCGGAAUUACUGGGCGUAAAGCGCGCGUAGGCGGUGUGUUAAGUCGGAUGUGAAAGCCCAGGGCUCAACCUUGGAAUUGCAUCCGAUACUGGCACGCUAGAGUGCAGUAGAGGGAGGUGGAAUUUCCGGUGUAGCGGUGAAAUGCGUAGAGAUCGGAAGGAACACCAGUGGCGAAGGCGGCCUCCUGGACUGACACUGACGCUGAGGUGCGAAAGCGUGGGGAGCAAACAGGAUUAGAUACCUGGUAGUCCACGCCGUAAACGAUGUCUACUAGCCGUUGGGGUCCUUAGUGACUUUGGUGGCGCAGCU
This 800-nucleotide ribosomal RNA is filed under the name Alcanivorax sp. RNAcentral describes it as "bacterial SSU rRNA". It matches the Rfam family "Bacterial small subunit ribosomal RNA", at positions 62 to 853 of the family's 1533-position model. The record is from RNAcentral. Lineage: Bacteria; Pseudomonadati; Pseudomonadota; Gammaproteobacteria; Oceanospirillales; Alcanivoracaceae.